UACGGAGGAGGCAAGCGUUAUCCGGAAUUAUUGGGCGUAAAGCGUCCGCAGGUGGCACCUCAAGUCUGCUGUCAAAGACCGGGGCUUAACCCCAGAAAGGCAGUGGAAACUGAAGUGCUAGAGUGCAGUAGGGGUAGAGGGAAUUCCCGGUGUAGCGGUGAAAUGCGUAGAGAUCGGGAAGAACAUCGGUGGCGAAAGCGCUCUGGCUGGACUGCAACUGACACUCAGGGACGAAAGCUAGGGGAGCGAAUGGG
This 254-nucleotide ribosomal RNA is filed under the name uncultured bacterium. RNAcentral describes it as "partial 16S ribosomal RNA". It matches the Rfam family "Bacterial small subunit ribosomal RNA", at positions 524 to 776 of the family's 1533-position model. The record is from RNAcentral.